RNAcentral lists this ribosomal RNA (301 nucleotides) under uncultured bacterium. Its description in RNAcentral is "partial 16S ribosomal RNA". It matches the Rfam family "Bacterial small subunit ribosomal RNA", at positions 509 to 807 of the family's 1533-position model. The record is from RNAcentral.
CAGCCGCCGCGGGAAUACGAAGGGGGCUAGCGUUGUUCGGAAUUACUGGGCGUAAAGCGCACGUAGGCGGACAUUUAAGUCAGGGGUGAAAUCCCGGGGCUCAACCCCGGAACUGCCUUUGAUACUGGGUGUCUAGAGUAUGGAAGAGGUGAGUGGAAUUCCGAGUGUAGAGGUGAAAUUCGUAGAUAUUCGGAGGAACACCAGUGGCGAAGGCGGCUCACUGGUCCAUUACUGACGCUGAGGUGCGAAAGCGUGGGGAGCAAACAGGAUUAGAUACCCGUGUAGUCCCUGUCUCUUAUAC